Molecule: ribosomal RNA, 568 nt
Filed under: uncultured Glomeromycotina
Lineage: Eukaryota; Fungi; Glomeromycota
Description: SSU rRNA
Rfam family: Eukaryotic small subunit ribosomal RNA
Source: RNAcentral
UUGGAAGGGCAAGUUCUGGUGCCAGCAGCCGCGGUAAUUCCAGCUCCAAUAGCGUAUAUUAAAGUUGUUGCAGUUAAAAAGCUCGUAGUUGAAUUUCGGGAUCAAUGUUUCGGUCAUGCCGUUGGUAUGUACUGAUAUUAUUGGUUUCUCACCUUCUAAAGAACCGUAAUGCCAUUAAUUUGGUGUCACGGGGAAUUAGGACUGUUACCUUGAAAAAAUUAGAGUGUUUAAAGCAGGCUCACGCUUGAAUACAUUAGCAUGGAAUAAUGAAAUAGGACAUCCGAUUCUAUUUUGUUGGUUUCUAGGAUCGAUGUAAUGAUUAAUAGGGAUAGUUGGGGGCAUUAGUAUUCAAUUGUCAGAGGUGAAAUUCUUGGAUUUAUUGAAGACUAACUACUGCGAAAGCAUUUGCCAAGGAUGUUUUCAUUAAUCAAGAACGAAAGUUAGGGGAUCGAAGACGAUCAGAUACCGUCGUAGUCUUAACCAUAAACUAUGCCGACUAGGGAUCGGAUGAUGUUAAUUUUUUAAUGACUCAUUCGGCGCCUUACGGGAAACCAAAGUGUUUGGGUUC